GGAGCCUGCGGUUUAAUUGGACUCAACGCCGGGCAGCUCACCGGAUAAGACAGCUGGAUGAUAGCCGGGCUGAAGACUCUGCUUGACUAGCUGAGAGGAGGUGCAUGGCCGUCGUCAGUUCGUACUGUGAAGCAUCCUGUUAAGUCAGGCAACGAGCGAGACCCACGCCAACAGUUGCCAGCAUGUCCUCCGGGAUGAUGGGGACACUGUUGGGACCGCUCUGCUAAAGAGGAGGAAGGAAUGGGCAACGGUAGGUCAGCAUGCCCCGAAUUAUCCGGGCUACACGCGGGCUACAAUGGUCAGGACAAUGGGUAUCGACACCGAGAGGUGGAGGCAAUCUCCUAAACCUGUCCUUAGUUCGGAUUGUGGGCUGCAACUCGCCCACAUGAAGCUGGAAUCCGUAGUAAUCGCGUUUCAAAAUAGCGCGGUGAAUAUGUCCCUGCUCCUU
RNAcentral lists this ribosomal RNA (448 nucleotides) under uncultured Methanolinea sp. Its description in RNAcentral is "bacterial SSU rRNA". It matches the Rfam family "Archaeal small subunit ribosomal RNA", at positions 890 to 1338 of the family's 1478-position model. The record is from RNAcentral. Lineage: Archaea; Methanobacteriati; Methanobacteriota; Methanomicrobia; Methanomicrobiales; Methanoregulaceae.